RNAcentral lists this long non-coding RNA (212 nucleotides) under Ananas comosus (pineapple). Its description in RNAcentral is "long non-coding RNA (ACOM_LNC001028)". The record is from RNAcentral. Lineage: Eukaryota; Viridiplantae; Streptophyta; Magnoliopsida; Poales; Bromeliaceae.
GGAACAUAUUUCUUGCUUUAGAUUCAUGUUUUGAUGGUUUUUACUAGAUGAAACCCUAGAAAUGGAAAUUCGGGUUUAUUUUGGAAAUUUUUGAUUUGAAGCUUUUGGGACUCUUUUGAUAAGUGUAGAACAACUCGUUGGGGUAAAUUUGAAGGACUCUAGCUUCCAAUUAGAAUUUGAGAGGGAUUUUCUACACUUUAGAGGGAUUUUCU